CAGUCGAGCGGAGUGAUAGUGCUUGCACUAUCACUUAGCGGCGGACGGGUGAGUAAUGCUUAGGAAUCUGCCUAUUAGUGGGGGACAACAUUUCGAAAGGAAUGCUAAUACCGCAUACGUCCUACGGGAGAAAGCAGGGGAUCUUCGGACCUUGCGCUAAUAGAUGAGCCUAAGUCGGAUUAGCUAGUUGGUGGGGUAAAGGCCUACCAAGGCGACGAUCUGUAGCGGGUCUGAGAGGAUGAUCCGCCACACUGGGACUGAGACACGGCCCAGACUCCUACGGGAGGCAGCAGUGGGGAAUAUUGGACAAUGGGCGCAAGCCUGAUCCAGCCAUGCCGCGUGUGUGAAGAAGGCCUUAUGGUUGUAAAGCACUUUAAGCGAGGAGGAGGCUACUUUAGUUAAUACCUAGAGAUAGUGGACGUUACUCGCAGAAUAAGCACCGGCUAACUCUGUGCCAGCAGCCGCGGUAAUACAGAGGGUGCAAGCGUUAAUCGGGAUUUACUGGGCGUAAAGCGCGCGUAGGCGGCUAAAUUAAGUCAAAUGUGAAAUCCCCGAGCUUAACUUGGGAAUUGCAUUCGAUACUGGUUAGCUAGAGUGUGGGAGAGGAUGGUAGAAUUCCAGGUGUAGCGGUGAAAUGCGUAGAGAUCUGGAGGAAUACCGAUGGCGAAGGCAGCCAUCUGGCCUAACACUGACGCUGAGGUGCGAAAGCAUGGGGAGCAAACAGGAUUAGAUACCCUGGUAGUCCAUGCCGUAAACGAUGUCUACUAGCCGUUGGGGCCUUUGAGGCUUUAGUGGCGCAGCUAACGCGAUAAGUAGACCGCCUGGGGAGUACGGUCGCAAGACUAAAACUCAAAUGAAUUGACGGGGGCCCGCACAAGCGGUGGAGCAUGUGGUUUAAUUCGAUGCAACGCGAAGAACCUUACCUGGCCUUGACAUAGUAAGAACUUUCCAGAGAUGGAUUGGUGCCUUCGGGAACUUACAU
RNAcentral lists this ribosomal RNA (982 nucleotides) under Acinetobacter sp. RNAcentral's name for it is "bacterial SSU rRNA". It matches the Rfam family "Bacterial small subunit ribosomal RNA", at positions 59 to 1033 of the family's 1533-position model. The record is from RNAcentral. Lineage: Bacteria; Pseudomonadati; Pseudomonadota; Gammaproteobacteria; Moraxellales; Moraxellaceae.